GAUGAACGCUGGCGGCGUGCCUAAUACAUGCAAGUCGAGCGAACAGACGAUGAGCUUUCUCCCCUGACGUUAGCGGCGGACGGGUGAGUAACACGUGGAUAACCUACCUAUAAUACUGGGAUAACUUCGGGAAACCGCAGCUGAUACCGGCUCAUAUAUUCAACCGCAUGGUGCAAUAGUGAUAGACGGCUUUCCCGUUACUAAUAGCUGGUUCCGGGUCGCAUUAGCUAGUUGGUAAGGUAACGGCUUACCAAGGCAACGAUGCGUAGCCGAUCUGAGAGGGUGAUCAGCCACACUGGAACUGAGACACGGUCCAGACUCCUACGGGAGGCAGCAGUGGGGAAUAUUCGACAAUGGGCGAAAGCCUGACGGAGCAACGCCGCGUGAGUGAUGAAGGUCUUCGGAUCGUAAAACUCUGUUAUUAGGGAAGAAAAGAUGUAUAAGAAAAUAUCGACGUUUUGACGGUACCUAAAGAGAAAGCACCGGCUAACUACGUG
This 497-nucleotide ribosomal RNA is filed under the name uncultured bacterium. Its description in RNAcentral is "partial 16S ribosomal RNA". It matches the Rfam family "Bacterial small subunit ribosomal RNA", at positions 28 to 507 of the family's 1533-position model. The record is from RNAcentral.